This 64-nucleotide transfer RNA is filed under the name Anolis alayoni. Its description in RNAcentral is "tRNA-Cys". Lineage: Eukaryota; Metazoa; Chordata; Lepidosauria; Squamata; Anolidae. The record is from RNAcentral.
AGUCCCGAAGUGUUCCACAUCAAAAUGCAAGUUUGAAGAAGAGCCCUUAAAGGCUCCGGGGCUU